RNAcentral lists this ribosomal RNA (460 nucleotides) under uncultured bacterium. Its description in RNAcentral is "partial 16S ribosomal RNA". It matches the Rfam family "Bacterial small subunit ribosomal RNA", at positions 338 to 795 of the family's 1533-position model. The record is from RNAcentral.
CCUACGGGAGGCUGCAGUGAGGGAUAUUGGUCAAUGGGCGGAAGGCUGAACCAGCCAUGCCGCGUGAAGGUCAGUGCCCUAUGGGCGUUAAACUUCUUUUGUGCGGGAGCAAUAAUGGUCACGUGUGGCCAGACGAGAGUACCGUACGAAUAAGCAUCGGCUAACUCCGUGCCAUCCGCCGCGGUAAUACGGGGGAUGCAAGCGUUAUCCGGGGUUAGUGGGUUUAAAGGGUGCGUAGGCUGUGAGGGAAGUCAGCGGUGAAAUGCCCCCGCUCAACGGGGUGAAGUGCCAUUGAUACUGCCUUGCUGGAAUGCGGAUGCGGUGGGAGGAAUGUGUGGUGUAGCGGUGAAAUGCAUAGAUAUCACACAGAACACCGAUUGCGAAGGCAUCUCACGAAUCCGCGAUUGACGCUGAUGCACGAAAGCGUGGGUAUCAAACAGGAUUAGAUACCCCAGUAGUC